GAAAUCUCAAGGAGGAGGGGUGUGUCUGUAUAUAAAUCAGAAAUGGUGUAAAAACGUGACCGUUCGUAGACAAGUGUGUCUGCCUGACAUUGAGCUCCUCUCUGUGUCUUUGAGGCCGUUUUAUCUGCCGAGGGAAUUCCCACAGAUCAACGUCACCGUCGUUUACAUCCAUCCUAAAGCGAAUCCUAAGAAUGCGACUGACACCAUCUCCAACGUCAUCCACUCACUACAAUCUCUCUCCCCUGAGGCUCCUAAUAUUGUUCUUGGGGACUUUAAUCGCUGCGACUUGAAGAAAACACUGAGCAGUUUUUAUCAGUAUGUGAACUGUUCCACACGCUUCAAUAAGACUCUGGAUUUGUGUUACGGUUCCAUAAAAGGUGCGUAUACAUCUGUGGCUGGCCCCGCCCUCGGAUCCUCGGAUCACAACACGGUGCAUCUUCUGCCAGUUUACAAGACUGUGCUGAGAAGAGAGAAAGUGAGGAAACACCGCAUAAAGGAGCUUAAUGAUGAGGGUGAAGAUGGAGUGAACUAUGAAAACAUUGGAGACUCUUCUGCUUCUGUCAGACUCCACUGUGUGUGUGUGUGUGUGUGUGUGUGUGUGUGGCUGGGUCUAAGUCUGAGACUUGCUGAGCUCUGUGGGACAUUGUUAUGAUGGGUGAGGGUUGCUCCUCCCCACCACUCCCUGCUGGUCACUGUCCUUGAGAACUUUUAGGAACUCUUUCUGGGGCCUCCCUCCUCCUUCUGCACAUGGUUGUCAUCUGGACGUGUGGGCUUGGGUCUCAAGUACUCCUGGGGUGCUUUGGAUGGCCCUGCUGAACUGGAUUGUUCCUUGUCUACUUCUGGGUCCAGGGGUGUUGUUGUGGCCUCGGACCCUCAUUAUUAAGUCCGUUUUGUGACACACACACACACACACACACACACACACACACACACACACACACACACACACACACACUUAUAGCAAAAUUGACCAUGUACAUGUGUGUCUUUGUAUUUUCCUGAUGUGCUGUUUGCUUUUUAUAUAUUUUCUUACAAUUUUCUUACAGGUGCAACAGUUGGUGAUCUGCUGAGUUUAACUAUGACUGCUUCGUACUUUUAUUUGUCUCUUUUCUAAGAUUUUCUCUGCUUUUUAUUUUUUGUGUCACUCUCUUUUCCCCUGUCUUCUCUUUACCCCUUCUUACUUUUCAUUGCCUGUCAGCUCUUGUAUUGCUAAAUUACACAUAAACAAAGUGAAUACGAAUGAAAAUAAAUAAAAGAAAAAAAGAAAGAAAAACUAAGAAUGCAAGGCUACAGACAUUUCAUAUUGCUCCUUUGGGCAAAACAAAUGAGUUUGGCUCAACAGAGCAUUCAGAUCAUGUUUCUCCUGUCAGAAAAGAGGUUUCAAAAAAGGAACAAAAAAAAAGUUUUGAUUUUAUCUCAUGUUUAGCUAAAACCUUUUUCAUGUGCAGUUAGAUUUGUUUUUAGAUAAAUCUAACUUAAAACAAUAUUUUAUCCUUCAUUUAGUUAUGAUAAACAGGAUCUUUUGUUGUGUAAAUCUGCAGCUGCUGAUGUUUACUGAAGGUAAAACAGUGAGAUCAGAAUCACAGGUUUUUUUAUU
This is a long non-coding RNA of Oreochromis aureus, 1597 nucleotides long. The record is from Ensembl. NCBI's taxonomy places the organism in Eukaryota, Metazoa, Chordata, Actinopteri, Cichliformes, Cichlidae.